AUCGAUGAAGAACGCAGCGAAAUGCGAUAAGUAAUGUGAAUUGCAGAAUUCAGUGAAUCAUCGAAUCUUUGAACGCACAUUGCGCCCCCUGGUAUUCCGGGGGGCAUGCCUGUUCGAGCGUCAUUACACCACUCAAGCCUGGCUUGGUCUUGGGCGACGGGCUCCGACCCGCGCCCCAAUGUCUCCGGCUGGACGACCCCGAUCUCAGCGUUGUGACCCACAAAGUCGCUGGCGGGAGGGAGCGUCCGCACGCCGUUAAACCCCCCAUUUUUACAGGUUGACCUCGGAUCAGGUAGGGAUACCCGCUGAACUUAAGCAUAUCAAUAAGCGGAGGAAAAGAAACCAACAGGGAUUGCCCUAGUAACGGCGAGUGAAGCGGCAACAGCUCAAAUUUGAAAUCUGGCGCAAGCCCGAGUUGUAAUUUGUAGAGGAUGCUUCUGGGCAGCGGCCGGUCUAAGUUCCUUGGAACAGGACGUCACAGAGGGUGAGAAUCCCGUACGUGACCGGCUGGCACCCUCCACGUAGCUCCUUCGACGAGUCGAGUUGUUUGGGAAUGCAGCUCUAAAUGGGUGGUAAAUUUCAUCUAAAGCUAAAUACCGGCCAGAGACCGAUAGCGCACAAGUAGAGUGAUCGAAAGAUGAAAAGCACUUUGGAAAGAGAGUUAAAAAGCACGUGAAAUUGUUGAAAGGGAAGCGCUUGCAACCAGACUUGUCGGCGGCGUUCCGCCGGUCUUCUGACCGGUCUACUCGCCGCCGCCAGGCCAGCAUCGUCUGGGGCCGCCGGAGAAAGGCGGGGGGAAUGUGGCUCCCUCGGGAGUGUUAUAGCCCUCCGCACAAUACGGCGCGCGCCGGGCGAGGUCCGCGCUUCGGCAUGGAUGCUGGCGUAAUGGUCGUAAGCGGCCCGUCUUGAAACACGG
RNAcentral lists this ribosomal RNA (916 nucleotides) under uncultured Ascomycota. Its description in RNAcentral is "eukaryotic LSU rRNA". The stretch from base 279 to 916 matches the Rfam family "Eukaryotic large subunit ribosomal RNA", at positions 1 to 664 of the family's 3401-position model. The record is from RNAcentral. Lineage: Eukaryota; Fungi; Ascomycota.